AAGACACAAGGCAUUAUAGAAAAUGUCAGUGGGACCUGAAGAAAAUCCUUUUCAAGGGAACUUCAUAAUGACCUACAAAAGCACGCACACUGCACUUCUGAGGGAAUUUAGUGAUGCUCACCGCAUCACUAAAGAAAGAUGUCUACUGCCCCAAAGACAACCAGCACUCCCACACAUAAACAGACAACAUCAGUGGCAGCACAGGACCAGAAGACAGGAAGCCAGGACAAAGAUGCUUUGGAGAAAGGGCAAAAACGAAAAAGAGCGCAAAGCCAAAAGACCCAUGGACCAAUUCGGGGACAUCAUUCACCAAAAGAGGUAAUUAAAG
Molecule: long non-coding RNA, 328 nt
Filed under: Danio rerio (zebrafish)
Lineage: Eukaryota; Metazoa; Chordata; Actinopteri; Cypriniformes; Danionidae
Description: lncRNA (ENSDARG00000117453.1)
Source: RNAcentral